CCUACGGGUGGCUGCAGUCGAGGAUCAUUCGCAAUGGGGGAAACCCUGACGAUGCGACGCUGCGUGGAGGAUGAAGGCCUUCGGGUCGUAAACUCCUGUCAUAUGGGGCAAGGGUGUGGGCGCUAAUAGCGCGAUGCACUUGAUGGUACCAUAAGAGGAAGCCACGGCUAACUCUGUGCCAGCAGCCGCGGUAAUACAGAGGUGGCGAGCGUUGUUCGGAUUUACUGGGCGUAAAGCGUGCGUAGGCGGUUACGUAUGUCGGAUGUGAAAUCCCG
RNAcentral lists this ribosomal RNA (275 nucleotides) under uncultured bacterium. RNAcentral describes it as "partial 16S ribosomal RNA". It matches the Rfam family "Bacterial small subunit ribosomal RNA", at positions 338 to 604 of the family's 1533-position model. The record is from RNAcentral.